UACAGAGGUCUCAAGCGUUGUUCGGAUUCAUUGGGCGUAAAGGGUGCGUAGGUGGCGAGGUAAGUCAGGGGUGAAAUCCCGCGGCCCAACCGUGGAACUGCCUUUGAUACUGGCGAACUUGAGUGCGUGAGGGGUAGGGGGAACGAGCAGUGUAGCGGUGAAAUGCGUAGAUAUUGCUCGGAAGGCCAGAGCCGAAGGGGCCCUACUGGUGCGCAACUGACACUGAGGCACGAAAGCGUGGGGAGCAAACAGG
RNAcentral lists this ribosomal RNA (253 nucleotides) under uncultured bacterium. RNAcentral's name for it is "partial 16S ribosomal RNA". It matches the Rfam family "Bacterial small subunit ribosomal RNA", at positions 524 to 776 of the family's 1533-position model. The record is from RNAcentral.